Molecule: long non-coding RNA, 281 nt
Organism: Xyrauchen texanus (razorback sucker)
Lineage: Eukaryota; Metazoa; Chordata; Actinopteri; Cypriniformes; Catostomidae
Exons: 3
Source: RefSeq, a predicted model, not a curated record
GUUGAAAGAGUUGUUUCUGCUGUGAGGGGCUCUGUUGUUGAAGAAACACCCUCAGUGCUAAUCUCAGGUACAGUGGAUGACUCAGCUGGAGUUGUUGUAGAUACAACUGUUGUAAUUGGCACCGUAGUUGUGGUUGUUAGCGUUGUUGGUUGUGUUGAAGUAACGACUGGUAUUGAGGUUUGUUUCAUUGGCACAGAUGAGCUGACAGAUGUUGACGUUUCAGAAGGUGUAGAUGUAUUUUCUUCAAAAGUUGUUGUGGCAAUAGUUGUUGUUUGGCUUGU